GACGAACGCUGGCGGCGUGCUUAAUACAUGCAAGUCGAACGGAAAGGCCCUGCUCUUGUUGGGUGCUCGAGUGGCGAACGCGUGUGUAACACGUGAGUAACCUGCCCUUGUCUGUGGGAUAACUUCUGGAAACUGGGGCUAAUACCCGAUAUAAGCUCCUGCUGCAUGGUGGGGGUUGGUAAGUGUCGGCGGUUGGGGAUGGACUCGCGGCUUAUCAGCUUGUUGGUGGGGUAGUGGCUUACCAAGGCUUUGACGGGUAGCCGGCCUGGGAGGGUGACCGGGCACAUUGGGACUGAGGUAGGGCCCAGACGGCUACGGGAGGCAGCGGUGGGAAAUAUUGCAGAAUGGGCGGAAGCCUGAUGCAGCAACGCCGCGUGCGGGAUGACGGCCUUCGGGUUGUAAACCGCUUUCGCCUGUGACGAAGAGUGAGUGACGGUAAUGGGUAAAGAAGCAACGGCUAACUACGUG
This 468-nucleotide ribosomal RNA is filed under the name uncultured bacterium. Its description in RNAcentral is "partial 16S ribosomal RNA". It matches the Rfam family "Bacterial small subunit ribosomal RNA", at positions 28 to 507 of the family's 1533-position model. The record is from RNAcentral.